This 497-nucleotide ribosomal RNA is filed under the name uncultured bacterium. Its description in RNAcentral is "partial 16S ribosomal RNA". It matches the Rfam family "Bacterial small subunit ribosomal RNA", at positions 28 to 507 of the family's 1533-position model. The record is from RNAcentral.
GAUGAACGCUGGCGGCGUGCCUAAUACAUGCAAGUCGAGCGAACAGACGAGGAGCUUGCUCCUCUGACGUUAGCGGCGGACGGGUGAGUAACACGUGGAUAACCUACCUAUAAGACUGGGAUAACUUCGGGAAACCGGAGCUAAUACCGGAUAAUAUAUUGAACCGCAUGGUUCAAUAGUGAAAGACGGUUUUGCUGUCACUUAUAGAUGGAUCCGCGCCGCAUUAGCUAGUUGGUAAGGUAACGGCUUACCAAGGCAACGAUGCGUAGCCGACCUGAGAGGGUGAUCGGCCACACGGGAACUGAGACACGGUCCAGACUCCGACGGGAGGCAGCAGUAGGGAAUCUUCCGGAAUGGGCGAAAGCCUGACGGAGCAACGCCGCGUGAGGGAUGAAGGUCUUCGGAUCGUAAAACUCUGUUAGUAGGGAAGAACAAAUGUGUAAGUAACUAUGCACGUCUUGACGGUACCUAAUCAGAAAGCCACGGCUAACUACGUG